GAAGGAAUAGCUCAGUGGUAGAGCACAUGCUUAGCAUGCACAAAGUCCUGGGUUCUAUCCCCAGUACCUCCA
RNAcentral lists this transfer RNA (72 nucleotides) under Camelus bactrianus (Bactrian camel). It matches the Rfam family "tRNA". From Rfam's summary of the family: Transfer RNA (tRNA) molecules are approximately 80 nucleotides in length. Their secondary structure includes four short double-helical elements and three loops (D, anti-codon, and T loops). Further hydrogen bonds mediate the characteristic L-shaped molecular structure. tRNAs have two regions of fundamental functional importance: the anti-codon, which is responsible for specific mRNA codon recognition, and the 3' end, to which the tRNAs corresponding amino acid is attached (by aminoacyl-tRNA synthetases). tRNAs cope with the degeneracy of the genetic code in two manners: having more than one tRNA (with a specific anti-codon) for a particular amino acid; and 'wobble' base-pairing, i.e. permitting non-standard base-pairing at the 3rd anti-codon position. RNAcentral also lists the same sequence under 3 other names. Lineage: Eukaryota; Metazoa; Chordata; Mammalia; Artiodactyla; Camelidae. The record is from Rfam by way of RNAcentral.